CACGAUCUAUCUCUCACUUUGCCAUCCCUCAUUUUUUUGGAACACAAUACCAAUAAAGUGGUGAUCAAUGAAAUAAGACUUAAUUUGUAAUGACGUAAACGAGACUAUGCAAAUUGCAAACCUGACAUAGAUGGGCGGCCAAUAAAGCAACGGAGGGACAACACAUGGUACUAACGGUACUUGACUUUGAUAGAGAAAUCGAUGGAGCUAGCAAAAAUUCUAAGCAGGGACUAAAUAUAUAAAGACAAAACAAAAUUAUUUUUAAAACCAUCGUAUUAAAUUUAAGGGUAAACAUAUUUUAGUCUCAUAAAUUAUAACUUUUUAGGUUUAGUCCUUACAAAAAAUUUAUUCAAUUUUUUAAAAUUUUACAAAAAAAGUGUGUGUUUAGUCUUGCAAUAAUCUCUAUAAAAAAAAUUAAAGACUAAAAUAAAAUAAAAAACCUUAUCAACUUAACUUUAAAAUUGUGAGUAUUGUAGAUAUUAAAACGAAAUUUAAUUCGAAACUUAACUAAAGCGUAAAAAAAUCACAAUAACUUUUAUUUAUAUGAAAUGUAAAUUGAAGUAACAACAAAGGAAAUAAAAAUUGACAAUAAGUUAUUUUAAAAAAAUUGAGCUAAACGCAUUUUAAAAAGUCACUUUUAUCCAUAAUUUUAUGUUUACUAAAUAGAUUAAUAAUAUCCUUUCAAUGUAAAUAAAUAUGUUAUUUGCAAAAUAAAGCGCAUUAUCUAUUUGUUAUUGAAAAAGUUUUCUUUAUAGUUAGCUGUUAUUGAGACUUAAAAUAUAAAACCAAUACAAAUAAUUCUAUCAUUUGUAUAGUAAUUUUUUUUACUUUAUUAUUUAUGUUAAUUUUUGGAUAUUAAACUUGUUUGGGUAGCUAAAUAUAAAUAGAUUUAUUGCUCUAAAAUUGUCGCAAAAUAAUAAGUAAUGUAAAUGCAACCCAUUCUUAAGAACUAUUGACAUUUGAUUUAUUAUCAGACUUUCGUUAAUGAAAUUGUUUUUAACAUAAAAAAAAAAAAAAAAAAGUUCUAAUCAUGCUUUCUUCAUCACAUUAAAAAAAUACACGAAAAGAAUCGUAAACGAUUUAAAGUAAGUAAUGUUUGUUUCUUGACGUCAAACGAGUGUAAAAACUUUUUAUCAAAUUCUUUAAUGAUUUGAGACAUCUAUUUUGCAUAAAAAAAUUGACACAUAAAAAGAGCAAUUUUCAAAUGGGGAUCGAAAUCAAACAAAACAAAAGAAAGAGGUUGAGAUUGUUAGUGGACGUGGUUCAAACCUGAAACCAAACUUGGACGUAUGGUAUGGCUUCAACAACCACCAGAAUGCUGAAGGGAAUUUUGCUAUUACACCUCUCUUCCACACCUCCCUCUUCUCUUCUUCGCAUUACUCGCGACCUUUCUCGCCCUUUCUUCCUCUCCUCUCUUC
RNAcentral lists this long non-coding RNA (1418 nucleotides) under Medicago truncatula (barrel medic). Its description in RNAcentral is "long non-coding RNA (MTRU_LNC002336)". The record is from RNAcentral. Lineage: Eukaryota; Viridiplantae; Streptophyta; Magnoliopsida; Fabales; Fabaceae.